GAUGAACGCUGGCGGCGUGCCUAAUACAUGCAAGUAGAACGCUGAAGGAGGAGCUUGCUCUUCUGGAUGAGUUGCGAACGGGUGAGUAACGCGUAGGUAACCUGCCUGGUAGCGGGGGAUAACUAUUGGAAACGAUAGCUAAUACCGCAUGACAACAGUUAUUGCAUGAUAACUGUUUAAAAGGGGCAACUGCUCCACUACCAGAUGGACCUGCGUUGUAUUAGCUAGUUGGUGAGGUAACGGCUCACCAAGGCGACGAUACAUAGCCGACCUGAGAGGGUGAUCGGCCACACUGGGACUGAGACACGGCCCAGACUCCUACGGGAGGCAGCAGUAGGGAAUCUUCGGCAAUGGUCGGAAGUCUGACCGAGCAACGCCGCGUGAGUGAAGAAGGUUUUCGGAUCGUAAAGCUCUGUUGUAAGAGAAGAACGAGUGUGAGAGUGGAAAGUUCACACUGUGACGGUAUCUUACCAGAAAGGGACGGCUAACUACGUG
RNAcentral lists this ribosomal RNA (495 nucleotides) under uncultured bacterium. RNAcentral describes it as "partial 16S ribosomal RNA". It matches the Rfam family "Bacterial small subunit ribosomal RNA", at positions 28 to 507 of the family's 1533-position model. The record is from RNAcentral.